RNAcentral lists this ribosomal RNA (468 nucleotides) under uncultured bacterium. Its description in RNAcentral is "partial 16S ribosomal RNA". It matches the Rfam family "Bacterial small subunit ribosomal RNA", at positions 28 to 507 of the family's 1533-position model. The record is from RNAcentral.
GACGAACGCUGGCGGCGUGCUUAACACAUGCAAGUCGAACGGAAAGGCCCUGCUUUUGUGGGGUGCUCGAGUGGCGAACGGGUGAGUAACACGUGAGUAACCUGCCCUUGACUUUGGGAUAACUUCAGGAAACUGGGGCUAAUAUCGGAUAGGAUCUCCUGCUGCAUGGUGGGGGUUGGAAAGUUUCGGCGGUUGGGGAUGGACUCGCGGCUUAUCAGCUUGUUGGUGGGGUAGUGGCUUACCAAGGCUUUGACGGGUAGCCGGCCUGAGAGGGUGACCGGCCACAUUGGGACUGAGGUACGGCCCAGACUCCUACGGGAGGCAGCAGUGGGGAAUAUUGCACAAUGGGCGGAAGCCUGAUGCAGCAGCGCCGCGUGCGGGAUGACGGCCUUCGGGUUGUGAACCGCUUUCGCCUGUGACGAAGCGUGAGUGACGGUAAUGGGUAAAGAAGCACCGGCUAACUACGUG